Molecule: ribosomal RNA, 398 nt
Filed under: uncultured bacterium
Lineage: Bacteria
Description: partial 16S ribosomal RNA
Rfam family: Bacterial small subunit ribosomal RNA
Source: RNAcentral
GAAUAUUGGACAAUGGGCGCCAGCCUGAUCCAGCCAUGCCGCGUGAGUGAUGAAGGCCUUAGGGUUGUAAAGCUCUUUCAGUGGGGAAGAUACUAACGGUACCCACCGGAGAAGCCCCGGCUAUCUUCGUGACAGCAGCCUCGGUAAUACGAAGGCGGCUAGCGUUGUUCGGAUUUACUGGGCGUAAAGCGCACGUAGGCGGUUUGUUAAGUCAGAGGUGAAAUCCCGGAGCUCAACUCCGGAACUGCCUUGGAUACGGGGAAGCUAGAGUCCGGAAGAGGUGAGUGGAACUCCUAGGGUGGAGGUGGAAUUCGUAGAUAUUAGGAAGAACACCAGUGGCGAAGGCGGCUCACUGGUCCGGUACUGACGCUGAGGUGCGAAAGCGUGGGGAGCAAACA